CAAUGGUUUCCAAACAUGGAAGAACCCCUAAAUUCUAGGGUUUCCACCAUCAAUCGAGUGCAGAGAUUCGAGGACAAGUAAUUAAGUCAAAAUAGUUUCAGAGGGUAUCAUAAAAGAACUAAAACCUUUAACAUGUUCCUUUGUCAAAAGAAACUCAUGAGAAAACUGGUAGAAGAGCUCAAAGAAAAUAUAGUAGAAGAAACUAAUAUGCAACAUAGUAGAAGAAAACUAAUCAGAACACAAU
This 244-nucleotide long non-coding RNA is filed under the name Nicotiana benthamiana. Its description in RNAcentral is "long non-coding RNA (NBEN_LNC005807)". The record is from RNAcentral. Lineage: Eukaryota; Viridiplantae; Streptophyta; Magnoliopsida; Solanales; Solanaceae.